RNAcentral lists this ribosomal RNA (433 nucleotides) under uncultured bacterium. Its description in RNAcentral is "partial 16S ribosomal RNA". It matches the Rfam family "Bacterial small subunit ribosomal RNA", at positions 29 to 507 of the family's 1533-position model. The record is from RNAcentral.
AACGAACGCUGGCGGCAUGCCUAACACAUGCAAGUCGAACGAGACCUUCGGGUCUAGUGGCGCACGGGUGCGUAACGCGUGGGAACCUGCCCUUAGGUUCGGAAUAACUCCCCGAAAGGGGUGCUAAUACCGGAUAAUGUCUUCGGACCAAAGAUUUAUCGCCUUUGGAUGGGCCCGCGUUGGAUUAGCUAGUUGGUAGGGUAAAAGCCUACCAAGGCGACGAUCCAUAGCUGGUCUGAGAGGAUGAUCAGCCACACUGGGACUGAGACACGGCCCAAACUACGACGGGAGGCAGAAGUGGGGAAUAUUGAGCAAUGGGUGAAAGUCUGAUGCAGCAAGGACGCGUGAAUGAUGAAGGUGUUAGGAUUGUAAAAUUCUGGCACCGGGGACGAUAAGGAGGGGACCUGGAGAAGAAGCGCCGGCUAGCGUCGUG